RNAcentral lists this transfer RNA (93 nucleotides) under Planctomycetota bacterium. RNAcentral describes it as "Planctomycetes bacterium tRNA-Ser". It matches the Rfam family "tRNA". From Rfam's summary of the family: Transfer RNA (tRNA) molecules are approximately 80 nucleotides in length. Their secondary structure includes four short double-helical elements and three loops (D, anti-codon, and T loops). The record is from RNAcentral. Lineage: Bacteria; Pseudomonadati; Planctomycetota.
GGAGAGGUGCCGGAGUGGCCGAACGGGGCGGUUUCGAAAACCGCUGUGUCCCGAUGAGGGGCACCGGGGGUUCGAAUCCCCCCCUCUCCGCCA